Molecule: ribosomal RNA, 929 nt
Filed under: Arthrobacter psychrochitiniphilus
Lineage: Bacteria; Bacillati; Actinomycetota; Actinomycetes; Micrococcales; Micrococcaceae
Description: bacterial SSU rRNA
Rfam family: Bacterial small subunit ribosomal RNA
Source: RNAcentral
CACAUGCAAGUCGAACGAUGAACCCCGCUUGCGGGGGGAUUAGUGGCGAACGGGUGAGUAACACGUGAGUAACCUGCCCUUAACUCUGGGAUAAGCCUUGGAAACGAGGUCUAAUACUGGAUAUUGACUUUACCUCGCAUGGGGUUUGGUUGAAAGAUUUAUUGGUUUUGGAUGGACUCGCGGCCUAUCAGCUUGUUGGUGAGGUAAUGGCUCACCAAGGCGACGACGGGUAGCCGGCCUGAGAGGGUGACCGGCCACACUGGGACUGAGACACGGCCCAGACUCCUACGGGAGGCAGCAGUGGGGAAUAUUGCACAAUGGGCGAAAGCCUGAUGCAGCGACGCCGCGUGAGGGAUGACGGCCUUCGGGUUGUAAACCUCUUUCAGUAGGGAACAAGGCCAGCAUUUUUGUUGGUUGAGGGUACUUGCAGAAGAAGCGCCGGCUAACUACGUGCCAGCAGCCGCGGUAAUACGUAGGGCGCAAGCGUUAUCCGGAAUUAUUGGGCGUAAAGAGCUCGUAGGCGGUUUGUCGCGUCUGCCGUGAAAGUCCGGGGCUCAACCCCGGAUCUGCGGUGGGUACGGGCAGACUAGAGUGAUGUAGGGGAGACUGGAAUUCCUGGUGUAGCGGUGAAAUGCGCAGAUAUCAGGAGGAACACCGAUGGCGAAGGCAGGUCUCUGGGCAUUAACUGACGCUGAGGAGCGAAAGCAUGGGGAGCGAACAGGAUUAGAUACCCUGGUAGUCCAUGCCGUAAACGUUGGGCACUAGGUGUGGGGGACAUUCCACGUUUUCCGCGCCGUAGCUAACGCAUUAAGUGCCCCGCCUGGGGAGUACGGCCGCAAGGCUAAAACUCAAAGGAAUUGACGGGGGCCCGCACAAGCGGCGGAGCAUGCGGAUUAAUUCGAUGCAACGCGAAGAACCUUACCAAGGCU